GUAGUCAUAUGGGCCGCCGGGCCGGUUGAUCUGUUACCACGCCCCGCCGCCGACUCAACAAACAAUACAGGUUGCGGUAAUCAGUCUCUUCUUGAAAGAGUAGUCACGCUGUUUACUUAAGUCAAAUGUGACUACGAGUCAAAUUGGUUCGUCCGGUUCCUGUUUGACUCCGACAAUUAAUUCCGGAAUAAACAUGUAGAAGACUUUCGGCGAAUAUGUUUGGACACCGGUUCGAAUCCGGUCGCCUCCACUA
Molecule: transfer-messenger RNA, 253 nt
Filed under: Chitinophagaceae bacterium
Lineage: Bacteria; Pseudomonadati; Bacteroidota; Chitinophagia; Chitinophagales; Chitinophagaceae
Description: partial transfer-messenger RNA
Rfam family: transfer-messenger RNA
About the family: Bacterial tmRNA, also known as 10Sa RNA or SsrA, is named for its dual tRNA and mRNA-like properties. Its role is to liberate the mRNA from a stalled ribosome.
Source: RNAcentral